This 253-nucleotide ribosomal RNA is filed under the name uncultured bacterium. RNAcentral describes it as "partial 16S ribosomal RNA". It matches the Rfam family "Bacterial small subunit ribosomal RNA", at positions 524 to 776 of the family's 1533-position model. The record is from RNAcentral.
UACGUAGGUGGCAAGCGUUGUCCGGAUUUACUGGGCGUAAAGAGCGCGCAGGCGGUCGUUCAAGUCGCGUGUGAAAGCCCCCGGCUCAACUGGGGAGGGUCACGCGAUACUGAUCGACUCGAAGGCAGGAGAGGGAAGUGGAAUUCCCGGUGUAGUGGUGAAAUGCGUAGAUAUCGGGAGGAACACCAGUGGCGAAGGCGGCCGCCUGGACCUGACCUGACGCUGAGGCGCGAAGGCGCGGGGAGCGAACGGG